This 492-nucleotide ribosomal RNA is filed under the name uncultured bacterium. Its description in RNAcentral is "partial 16S ribosomal RNA". It matches the Rfam family "Bacterial small subunit ribosomal RNA", at positions 29 to 507 of the family's 1533-position model. The record is from RNAcentral.
AGUGAACGCUGGCGGUAGGCCUAACACAUGCAAGUCGAACGGCAGCACAGUAAGAGCUUGCUCUUACGGGUGGCGAGUGGCGGACGGGUGAGGAAUACAUCGGAAUCUACUUUUUCGUGGGGGAUAACGUAGGGAAACUUACGCUAAUACCGCAUACGACCUACGGGUGAAAGCAGGGGAUCUUCGGACCUUGCGCGAUUGAAUGAGCCGAUGUCGGAUUAGCUAGUUGGCGGGGUAAAGGCCCACCAAGGCGACGAUCCGUAGCUGGUCUGAGAGGAUGAUCAGCCACACUGGAACUGAGGCACAGUCCAGACUCCUACGGGAGGCAGCAGUGGGGAAUAUUGGACAAUGGGGGCAAGCCUGAUCCAGCCAUACCGCGUGGGUGAAGAAGGCGUUCGGGUUGUAAAGCCCUUUUGUUGGGAAAGAAAAGCAGCAGGUUAAUACCCCGCUGUUCUGACGGUACCCAAAGAAUAAGCACCGGCUAACUUCGUG